GGGCAUACUACUGUUUAUGCCUUUUAACUGGCCAUUUUUGUCCUCCACUGUCUUGGCAGCAAUAUGAUAUUAACGCAUAGAAGAUACUUUUCCCAUCAACUAUAGAUGGCUGUUCUUCUCCGUUUUCCUGCUAUUUUUUACUUUAAGAGGACUGGGAUUACUAUGAUCCACUUGAAGAUGAAAACAGUAACAAGUAAAAAGAAGAGCUGUGCUGGUUUCUCUCUAUUUUCCAGCCUCUACUCCCACCACCACCACUGUUACAAGAAAGAUCCUUUGUUCUGUUCUGUUCUUUGCCCCAGGAAGCUGAUCCCUGUGGAUUACACACCUGAGCAUCCUCCUACUAGCUUCUGGUUAAAUUCAGCCAGUGAAGAUCAAGAGUGAUCAGAGGACUGAAAGAAAGAGACUGAGGUUUUUCUUCUCCCCUCCUUUUCUGCUCUGGGUCAUAUUUUCUGGAACAUGCUGCAUUCCCCCAGGAUUAUAGCACCUUUUAGGUUGUUCCAUGUCUCACUGGGCUCUGGUAGAGAAAUUUUCUCCUCUUGCCCUUUAGGCUUAGGAGUGGCAAGGGCUUCCUGUGGUUUCUAGGCUCUUCAGUGCCUCAACAUCCUUUACUGGCUCCUCUAAAUUCUCUCACCCCUUUGAAAGCAGUCUAUAAAAUUCUUAAACCAUGUGAGGUUCCUAUGAGGACCCUGAUACAAG
RNAcentral lists this long non-coding RNA (696 nucleotides) under Pan troglodytes (chimpanzee). RNAcentral describes it as "long non-coding RNA NONPTRT010775". The record is from RNAcentral. Lineage: Eukaryota; Metazoa; Chordata; Mammalia; Primates; Hominidae.